RNAcentral lists this long non-coding RNA (426 nucleotides) under Rattus norvegicus (Norway rat). RNAcentral describes it as "long non-coding RNA NONRATT029988". Lineage: Eukaryota; Metazoa; Chordata; Mammalia; Rodentia; Muridae. The record is from RNAcentral.
UGCGUCGCUUGAAAAAAGUUUUCACAGACUCUGCUGGAGCUGGUGCUGAAACAGACUGAGGCAGCCCCUGGGACUGGUGCUGAAAAAGAGACCCCAGCCAAAUUCAUGGUGCUACAGUGACCUCCAUAUCUACUCUUCGAUCCCAGGAGGACCCACAUGUCUCAUAUUUAGGCAUGAUGGCAAACUGGGUGGUAGCAAGACCUCUCCUCAUUCUUUUUGUUUUAUUAGGGUACUGUGUCUCAAUAAAAGCCCAGGAACAAGAGAAUGAUGACUAUGAUGAAGAAAUAGCCUGUACACAACAUGGCCAGAUGUAUUUAAAUAGAGACAUUUGGAAACCUUCUCCAUGCCAGAUCUGUGUCUGUGACAAUGGUGCUAUCCUCUGUGACAAGAUAGAGUGCCAAGAAGUGCUCAACUGUGCCAAUCCUG